GAUCAUGCUGCACCACAGACAGGUCUUUUCUCUGCAGAUCUCAACAUAUCUUGCAGGAGCAGCUGGUGUUUAGCAUUGCUGUUUUGUUGCUGUGCAAAGUGGCCUUGAGCAGAUUGAUACAGGACAAGAUUCACUCUAUCACAUAUACAUUUUAAAUCUUAUUUCUUAUUCAUCCCUACUUAUCAUCCUGAGGUCUGUGCAUGGGAAACUGCAAAUCUACGAGUGUGCCUGAUGGUAGUGAGGUAUAAAUCAUCACAAAACUGUCUGCUGCUUUAAUGUCCUGCUUCAAUUUUGGGAGUAUUUCUGGAGGAGGAGGCAGAAAGCAUUUUAUGUGCUUUGAAAUUUCAUGUUGGAACUGCAUACUGAAAAGCAACGCAUGUUUUUGGGAG
RNAcentral lists this long non-coding RNA (389 nucleotides) under Zonotrichia albicollis (white-throated sparrow). Its description in RNAcentral is "lncRNA (ENSZALG00000008977.1)". The record is from RNAcentral. Lineage: Eukaryota; Metazoa; Chordata; Aves; Passeriformes; Passerellidae.